AACGAACGUUUGCGGCGGGCCUAACACAUGCAAGUCGAACGGGCAGUCCCUUCGGGGGCUGUCAGUGGCGCACGGGUGCGUAACACGUAGGUAAUCAACCCUCGGGUUCGGGAUAACACUUCGAAAGGGGUGCUAAUACCGGAUGCGACGAGCGUCUCCUCGGAGAUGCACGGGAAAGAUCCGCAAGGGUCGCCCGAGGACGAGCCUGCGGCCCAUCAGCUUGUUGGUGAGGUAAUGGCUCACCAAGGCUAAGACGGGUAGCUGGUCUGAGAGGAUGAUCAGUCACACUGGAACUGAGACACGGUCCAGACUCCUACGGGAGGCAGCAGUGGGGAAUAUUGCGCAAUGGGCGAAAGCCUGACGCAGCCACGCCGCGUGAGCGAUGAAGGCCU
This 392-nucleotide ribosomal RNA is filed under the name uncultured bacterium. Its description in RNAcentral is "bacterial SSU rRNA". It matches the Rfam family "Bacterial small subunit ribosomal RNA", at positions 29 to 417 of the family's 1533-position model. The record is from RNAcentral.